UAGUGCGGGGUUGUCUAUCUUCUACCAAACUUUUGGAAACUUCGAAUUCGGGAUUAUUAAAUUUAAACAAACAGACUAGAGGUGCUAAGAUCUUUAGUCGAGAGGGAAACAGCCCAGAUUGACCGUUAAGGACCUUAAAAAUACAGAAGUUAAAGGAAGUUAAAAACUUUUAACAGCCAGGAGGUAGGCUUAGAAGCAGCCACCCUAUGAUGAAAGCGUAGCAGCUCACUGGUCUAGGUUUUUUGCACCGAAAAUUUAAAUGGGAUUAAAAGUAUUUUCCGAAGCGGCAAAAUCCAAUUUUUGGAUUGGUAGCAGAAUGUUCUGUAAAUUUUUAAAGCUAAGCUGUCAGGUUUAGUGGAGAUAUCAGAAGUAAGAAUGCUGACAUAAGUAACGAUAAAGAGUGUUUAAAACACUCUCGCUGUAAACCCAAGGUUUUCGAUGUCAAGUUAAGCUGCGUCGAAGAGAAAUUCAAAAAUAAAAACGGCCCCUAAGAAUAUAGUGAAAACUCAUUUUGAUGGGAAACAAUAUACUGUUUUGAAAGUUGUGACAAAAGGCUUGAAUUUUGUGUUAAAAAGAUCAUUUUGAUGCAAAUUAAUCUUUUCAAGAAAUAGCACUUUCUUUAUUACCGUACCGUAAACUGACACAAGUGGGUGGGUUGAGAAAACUAAAGCGCUUGAGAGAACUGUGUAAAAGGAACUCGGCAAAAUGGCUCCGUAACUUAGGAAGAAGGAGUGACUUUUAAUUCAAUAUUUGCAAUAUGCAAUAAAUGUUCUAAAAGUUGUCACAAAAUUGGAAGAAGCAACUGUUUAACAAAAACACAGGUCUCUGCUAAUUCGCAAGAAGAUGUAUAGGGGCUGACGCGUGCCCGGUGCUGCAAGGUUAAGGGGAGGCGUCUUGGCGCUGAACUCAAGCCCCAGUAAACGGCGGCCGUAACUCUGACGGUCCAAAGGUAGCGAAAUUCUUUGCCACCUAAUUAGUGGCCUGCAUGAAUCGCGUAAUGACUUCUUUACUGUCUCUUACACAGACUCAGUGAAAUUGAAAUAUCCGUGAAGAUGCGGAUUACUCACAGCUAGACGGAAAGACCCUGUACACCUUUACUGCAUUUAUUGAUUGCAAAAAUGUAUUUGUUGUGUAGAAUAGGUGGGAGCACGAUACCUUUUUGGUACUGUGCGCCAGUGAAAUACCACCCUGCAUUUAUGUUGAUGCUAACUUAUUUCUAUAAGAACAGUUUAUAAUUGGUAGUUUGACUGGGGCGGUCGCCUUCUAAAAGGUAACGAAGGCGUGCAUAAGGUAAACUCAAAUAAAUAAAUCUUUUAUUGAAGAGUGCAAUAGCAAAAGUUUGCUUGACUGUAAGAAUAACGAUUCGAACAGGGGCGUAAGCCGGCUAUAGUGAUCCGGUGAUACUGAAUGGAAAGGUCAUCGCUCAACGGAUAAAAGGUACGUCAGGGAUAACAGGCUAAUGACUCCUUAGAGUUCCUAUCGACGGAGUUGUUUGGCACCUCGAUGUCGGCUAGUCACAUCCUGGAGCUGAAGCAGGUUCCAAGGGUUAGGUUGUUCGCCUAUUAAAGUGGCACUUGAGCUGGGUUCAGAACGCCGUGAGGCAGUUUGGUCCCUAUCUACUGUGAGCGUUAGAAAAUUGAAGAAAUUAAACCCUAGUACGAGAGGACCGGGAAACGUAAACCUCUGGUGUAGCGAUUGUUUUUAAAAAAGCAUCGUCGCGUAGCUACGUUUAUACUAGAUAAUCGCUGAAAGCAUCUAAGUGAGAAACUAUUUCUAAGAUUAAUUUUCUUUUUAGGGCUGUGGCAUAACACCACGUUGAUAGGUGCGGAGUUUAACGAUUGUAAGAUUUUAGCUACUGCAUACUAAAAGCCUGAAAUAAUCUUU
Molecule: ribosomal RNA, 1884 nt
Filed under: metagenome
Description: bacterial LSU rRNA
Rfam family: Bacterial large subunit ribosomal RNA
Source: RNAcentral